UGGGAGCACCCUUCGGGGUGUGACUGCGUACCUUUUGUAUAAUGGGUCAGCGACUUAUAUUCUGUAGCAAGGUUAACCGUAUAGGGGAGCCGGAGGGAAACCGAGUCUUAACCGGGCGUUAAGUUGCAGGGUAUAGACCCGAAACCCGGUGAUCUAGCCAUGGGCAGGUUGAAGGUUGGGUAACACUAACUGGAGGACCGAACCGACUAAUGUUGAAAAAUUAGCGGAUGACCUGUGGCUGGGGGUGAAAGGCCAAUCAAACCGGGAGAUAGCUGGUUCUCCCCGAAAGCUAUUUAGGUAGCGCCUCGUGAAUUCAUCUCCGGGGGUAGAGCACUGUUUCGGCUAGGGGGCCAUCCCGGCUUACCAACCCGAUGCAAACUGCGAAUACCGGAGAAUGUUAUCACGGGAGACACACGGCGGGUGCUAACGUCCGUCGUGAAGAGGGAAACAACCCAGACCGCCAGCUAAGGUCCCAAAGUCAUGGUUAAGUGGGAAACGAUGUGGGAAGGCCCAGACAGCCAGGAUGUUGGCUUAGAAGCAGCCAUCAUUUAAAGAAAGCGUAAUAGCUCACUGGUCGAGUCGGCCUGCGCGGAAGAUGUAACGGGGCUAAACCAUGCACCGAAGCUGCGGCAGCGAACGUAUCACCCAAGACAACUUUACGGAGUUGACGAUUGACGGAGCGAAGCGACGUCAAAGCGUUCAUUAAAGUCGAGUUGGCUUAGGGAUACGUUCGUUGGGUAGGGGAGCGUUCUGUAAGCCUGUGAAGGUGUGUCGUGAGGCAUGCUGGAGGUAUCAGAAGUGCGAAUGCUGACAUAAGUAACGAUAAAGCGGGUGAAAAGCCCGCUCGCCGGAAGACCAAGGGUUCCUGUCCAACGUUAAUCGGGGCAGGGUGAGUCGACCCCUAAGGCGAGGCCGAAAGGCGUAGUCGAUGGGAAACGGGUUAAUAUUCCCGUACUUGGUGUUACUGCGAAGGGGGGACGGAGAAGGCUAUGUUGGCCGGGCGACGGUUGUCCCGGUUUAAGCGUGUAGGUGUGUGUUCCAGGUAAAUCCGGUUCACUUUAACACUGAGGCGUGACGACGAGGCACUACGGUGCUGAAGCAACAAAUGCCCUGCUUCCAGGAAAAGCCUCUAAGCAUCAGGUAACACGAAAUCGUACCCCAAACCGACACAGGUGGUCAGGUAGAGAAUACCAAGGCGCUUGAGAGAACUCGGGUGAAGGAACUAGGCAAAAUGGUGCC
RNAcentral lists this ribosomal RNA (1239 nucleotides) under Salmonella enterica subsp. enterica serovar Typhimurium. RNAcentral's name for it is "partial 23S ribosomal RNA". It matches the Rfam family "Bacterial large subunit ribosomal RNA", at positions 574 to 1729 of the family's 2925-position model. The record is from RNAcentral. Lineage: Bacteria; Pseudomonadati; Pseudomonadota; Gammaproteobacteria; Enterobacterales; Enterobacteriaceae.